AAGCGUUGUCCGGAAUUAUUGGGCGUAAAGCGCGCGCAGGCGGUUUCUUAAGUCUGAUGUGAAAGCCCCCGGCUCAACCGGGGAGGGUCAUUGGAAACUGGGGAACUUGAGUGCAGAAGAGGAGAGUGGAAUUCCACGUGUAGCGGUGAAAUGCGUAGAGAUGUGGAGGAACACCAGUGGCGAAGGCGACUCUCUGGUCUGUAACUGACGCUGAGGCGCGAAAGCGUGGGGAGCGAACAGGAUUAGAUACCCUGGUAGUCCACGCCGUAAACGAUGAGUGCUAAGUGUUAGAGGGUUUCCGCCCUUUAGUGCUGCAGCAAACGCAUUAAGCACUCCGCCUGGGGAGUACGGUCGCAAGACUGAAACUCAAAGGAAUUGACGGGGGCCCGCACAAGCGGUGGAGCAUGUGGUUUAAUUCGAAGCAACGCGAAGAACCUUACCAGGUCUUGACAUCCUCUGACAACCCUAGAGAUAGGGCUUCCCCUUCGGGGGCAGAGUGACAGGUGGUGCAUGGUUGUCGUCAGCUCGUGUCGUGAGAUGUUGGGUUAAGUCCCGCAACGAGCGCAACCCUUGAUCUUAGUUGCCAGCAUUCAGUUGGGCACUCUAAGGUGACUGCCGGUGACAAACCGGAGGAAGGUGGGGAUGACGUCAAAUCAUCAUGCCCCUUAUGACCUGGGCUACACACGUGCUACAAUGGGCAGAACAAAGGGCAGCGAAGCCGCGAGGCUAAGCCAAUCCCACAAAUCUGUUCUCAGUUCGGAUCGCAGUCUGCAACUCGNACUGCGUGAAGCUGGAAUCGCUAGUAAUCGCGAUCAGCAUGC
RNAcentral lists this ribosomal RNA (821 nucleotides) under Bacillus sp. (in: firmicutes). RNAcentral describes it as "bacterial SSU rRNA". It matches the Rfam family "Bacterial small subunit ribosomal RNA", at positions 536 to 1357 of the family's 1533-position model. Lineage: Bacteria; Bacillati; Bacillota; Bacilli; Caryophanales; Bacillaceae. The record is from RNAcentral.